UACGUAGGGGCCGAGCGUUUGUCCGGAGUUAUUGGGCGUAAAGCGCGCGCAGGCGGCCUCGCGCGCCCGACGUGAAAGCCCCCGGCUUAACCGGGGAGGGUCGUUGGGGACGGCGGGGCUUGAGGGCGGGAGAGGUCGGUGGAAUUCCCGGUGUAGUGGUGAAAUGCGUAGAGAUCGGGAGGAACACCUGUGGCGAAGGCGGCCGACUGGGCCGACCCUGACGCUGAGGCGCGAAGGCGUGGGGAGCGAACGGG
Molecule: ribosomal RNA, 254 nt
Filed under: uncultured bacterium
Lineage: Bacteria
Description: partial 16S ribosomal RNA
Rfam family: Bacterial small subunit ribosomal RNA
Source: RNAcentral